Molecule: unclassified non-coding RNA, 1283 nt
Filed under: Hevea brasiliensis (rubber tree)
Lineage: Eukaryota; Viridiplantae; Streptophyta; Magnoliopsida; Malpighiales; Euphorbiaceae
Source: RNAcentral
CACUUCAAGUUGCAUUGUUGAAUCCUGAAGUGCCUUUUGUUCUUUACAUUCUUGUUUUUCAAUUGCUUAGGGCUUUGGUUGGACCUCUUGUUGACAAUAUUGUUUUUGUUGGGAUAAAGUCUAUUCAUAAUCCAAAGGUAGAAAUUCUUGUUCCAAUAAGUAGUUCAUGAUGAACCACGUACGAACUGGUGUCCUUUUUUCUCUUGCUCUCCUAGAUUGCGAUCGUUCCCACCAAGCGGAAGCACUUUCUUUCAACCGACAAACCACCAAUUUGACUCUUUUUUCAAGGGCUAUGUCCAUAUGAUCAAAGAAUUGAUCCAUCUUUGUGAUCCAAUCUAAAAAUUCUUCUAUGUUGAGAUCCCUAUAAAAAUAAGGAAUAUCAAGUUUCAAUCAAUUUGCCUUUUCAAGAUUCCAAUACGCGCCUCUUCUCUUAUAACAUUGUUGAUGCCUAUUGAACUUGAUUGAUUCAUAGUCAUCUUUCUCCUCCAGAUUAUCAUAGUAGAUAUAUUGCCUAUGUGCAGAAAUUGGUCGAUAAUUAUGGUCACCAUGAGCUACACUAUCUCCUAGCCUUCUAUUGUCAACCCAAUUCCUGUUUGUUUUAGUUCCUAAAGCACCAAGACGAUCUACAAUUUCUUUGAGGCGUCUCUUGAUCACUUGAAUCUGAGAUCCAUCCAUUGCUUCCAUAGUUGCAAAGUUUUGUUCUUAAGGUAAAGAACUCUAGUUCCUCGAUCACCAUCACAAGAACCACUGUAAUUGCCACCUCCAUCAAGGUAAGCCAUAUCGAUUGAGAUGAUUUUCCCACUCUGAUGCCACUUGACACAGCGUGAAACUCAAAUAGAAACGCACUCUAUGUACAAGAGUGAAAAUAAGGAGAGAAACCUUUGUUGGAUUUUUAUUGAUCACAAUCUAUUCUUCAAAUACAUAAAAUAUUAGGUAUUUAUAGAUAUUAAUCUCCUAAACCUAAUAGGAAUGUAAAACUACUAAAUAAGAAUUUUAGAUAAACUAAAAUCAGUGUUAUCAAAGGUGUGCGAGGCGCUCCUCUUCCGCCUUGAUUGGGUCGCCUCUCUUGGCACUAUGAUAGGCAACGCCUCAGGCCAGUGAGGCGAGGCUCUAGGCAGGUGAGAGGCGUCGCCUCUUUCAACAGAGCAGAACCCUUUUUUUGUUAAGACAAAAAUAUAAAACCCUAAAGACUUACCUAUUGCCAACAAAAAAAAAAAGAGCUGCAUCAACUCUAGGAGCUACAUUGAGUCUUUCCAGUCCAGGUAUCUCUCUCUCUCUCUCUC